RNAcentral lists this ribosomal RNA (626 nucleotides) under uncultured fungus. Its description in RNAcentral is "LSU rRNA". It matches the Rfam family "Eukaryotic large subunit ribosomal RNA", at positions 23 to 664 of the family's 3401-position model. Lineage: Eukaryota; Fungi. The record is from RNAcentral.
ACCCGCUGAACUUAAGCAUAUCAAUAAGCGGAGGAAAAGAAACCAACAGGGAUUGCCCCAGUAACGGCGAGUGAAGCGGCAAUAGCUCAAAUUUGAAAUCUGGCGUCUUCGGCGUCCGAGUUGUAAUUUGUAGAGGAUGUCUCGGGUGGAGAACCGGUCCAAGUCCCUUGGAACAGGAUAUCAUAGAGGGUGAGAAUCCCGUAUCCGGCCGGCCCCCUCCCCCGCUGUGAGACUCCUUCGACGAGUCGAGUUGUUUGGGAAUGCAGCUCCAAAUGGGUGGUAAAUUCCAUCUAAAGCUAAAUACUGGCCAGAGACCGAUAGCGCACAAGUAGAGUGAUCGAAAGAUGAAAAGCACUUUGAAAAGAGAGUUAAAAAGUACGUGAAAUUGUUGAAAGGGAAGCGUAUGCGGCCAGACUUAUCUGCAGUUGCUCAGCCCGUCUUCUGGCGGGUGUACUCUUCUGCAGCUAGGCCAGCAUCGGUUUCGGCAGCCAGAUAAAGACGUCGGGAACGUGGCUCCCCUCGGGGAGUGUUAUAGCCCGUCGUGCAAUGUGGUUAGCCGGGACCGAGGCCCGCGUUCUGCUAGGAUGCUGGCGUAAUGGCCGUAUACGGCCCGUCUUGAAACACGG